Molecule: ribosomal RNA, 523 nt
Filed under: uncultured soil bacterium
Lineage: Bacteria
Description: bacterial SSU rRNA
Rfam family: Bacterial small subunit ribosomal RNA
Source: RNAcentral
GAGUUUGAUCCUGGCUCAGAUUGAACGCUGGCGGCAUGCCUUACACAUGCAAGUCGAACGGCAGCACGGGCUUCGGCCUGGUGGCGAGUGGCGAACGGGUGAGUAAUACAUCGGAACAUGUCCAGUAGUGGGGGAUAGCCCGGCGAAAGCCGGAUUAAUACCGCAUACGAUCUAUGGAUGAAAGCGGGGGAUCGCAAGACCUCGCGCUAUUGGGGUGGCCGAUGGCGGAUUAGGUAGUUGGUGGGGUAAAGGCCUACCAAGCCGACGAUCCGUAGCUGGUCUGAGAGGACGACCAGCCACACUGGGACUGAGACACGGCCCAGACUCCUACGGGAGGCAGCAGUGGGGAAUUUUGGACAAUGGGGGCAACCCUGAUCCAGCAAUGCCGCGUGUGUGAAGAAGGCCUUCGGGUUGUAAAGCACUUUUGUCCGGAAAGAAAUCCUUUGGGCUAAUACCCUAGGGGGAUGACGGUACCGGAAGAAUAAGCACCGGCUAACUACGUGCCAGCAGCCGCGGUAAUACG